GUGGUUCCAAUAUCGUACGUUGAUAGUGAAUCGACUAUACAUAGGAUUGAUAUCGAUCUUAAUGUUACACUCGAUAUUGAUGCGAUUGGUGAUGAUGGAUACGACAAUAGUGAUCCUUGAGAUUAAGAUGUCGAUAGUGAUAGUGAUCCCGUUGUGGACGAGGUCCUCGAUGAUAUUAACGACAAAGACAUGAAUGACGAUAGAAACAUUAACGCGUCUUUAGUCGGGAACCAGAUUCGACGUAUUGUGAUACACAAUAAUUCUAGGCCACACAUGUCGCUCAUAAACCCCGACGCGGUGCACGUAGCCGAGUUCCCAGAGUUGCAAUGCAACAUCCUCCAGAGUGACAGUGCACUCCCCACACGGCAAAUGGAAAGUGUGGCUCUUCGGGUGUCAAUGCUCGACCAAUGCAAAUAUUAAAUCGUACUGCAAAUCAAACAUCUGGAUCAAUGCUGUUGACCCGAAUCUAGCUAACUCCAAGUACGGCAUCAAUCGUGCAUUCGAAGAAUAUCCUAAACCAUUCACCCGACCCCUUAAUGCGCAGUACGGGCUCUAACAGUGAUAAAUUACAUAAAAUAGUUAUAAUAACAUAAUUUAUUUCUGUAAAUUACGUAGAUCUUUUUUUAAGGAAACCCGUAAUUAAUAAACAACAAUAUAUUGCCAUAUUAUUAACUGUGUUUGAUAUGUGACCAUCGUUUUUAAUCAAUAGAGCCAUUGCGGUACCUGCAAUUUUAAAACAAAUUUUGGCUAUUAAUUUCAAAGUUUGAUGGAUUUUAAAUAUUUUUCAAAAUACCUAAAUUUUUAUUUUGCUUUUAAUUACAAAAAAAAAAUACCAAACAGUAUUUUUCCACAUCAUAUUUUUUGCUAUACUACAUUAACAAACUAAAUAUAGAUUAUAAAUUCCAACUCAAACUCCAACUCAAUGGUCUCAUUCAGAAAUUUCAUCCCAAUGGUUUAAUCUUUUACCUACAUAAAAAAUAUUAAAAUACUAAAAAUAAUAUGCCAAUAAAAAAUAUAGAAAAAUUAUAUAAAUGAUACAUAAUAAAUAUGAAUAUUUUUAUUAUUAUUUUAAAAUGAUAAUAAGUAAAUUUUUAUAUUAAAAUACUAAAAAUAACAUGUCAAUAACAAAAACAUAACAUAAACGAUACAUAAUAAAUACGAAUAUUUUUAUUAUUACUUUAAAAUGAUAAUAAGUAAAUAUUUUUGGUUUAAAAUAUAAUAUAUAUAUAUAUAUAAUAACACGCCAACUUAAUUAUUAUAAAAAAAUACUUUUUUUUUCAUAUAAGUUCAUAGUAAAUUUUAUUUUUAUUAUUUAUAAAAAAAUAUAAAAUCUUAAAAAAUUAAAACAUAUAAACUAAUUCCUAAUCUAUCUCAUAAAUUCCAAAUUUCAUAUCAAUGGUCUCACCUUUUACCUACAUAAAAAGAAAAUAAUAAUAAUAAAAAUAACAUGCCAAAUAAAUUUCAUAAAAAAUAUAUCUAAUCAACCUAAAACACACAUAAUAAAUAAAUUAUAUAAAAAAAUAAAACAUUCUUUGUACAUAAUAUAAAUAGGCUUUUUUUUACUUCAAUAAACAUUAAAAAUAAAUUAUGAAUGAAUAGAAUUAUAAAAUAAAUACAAACAUACCUUAAUAGCUCUUUUUAACCAAAUAAAACCUUACAAAAUCACAUUUAAAAAUUAAAUCUGAAUUAAAUCAACAAUAACAACAAAAAAGCAAAUUAAAUUAACAUUAAUCCAUUAAUUUAUAACAAAAAUAAUUUACCUUUUUCUUUUCUAUUUUUUUUCCUCCUCUUUCUCCUUCCCUCUUUCUAUUCUCCUUCUCUUUUUUCCUUUUCUUUUUCCCUUCCCUUCCCUACUCAGCUUCUCCUUCUCCUUCUCCUUCUUCUUCUUCUUCUUCUCUUCUUUUCUUCUCCUUCUCUUUCUCCUUCACUCACGGCCAAAAAUGGAACUUGGGGACCAUUAUAAGGUCCCCAAACACACAAAAAUACAGAGGAACUCAACAUGCAGCCGUCCCAUCCCUACUAAAGUGGUGCCACUUCUACCAGCCCCUCCAUCUGUGUCGCUUGCGCCAAACCCUCCACCCAUGUCUUAUCCCAUUGUUUUUUUUUUACUGUAAAGUGUCAGAAAAUAAGGGUAUUGUCGCCAAUGCACCACUCUCCACCCAUCCAAAUGUACUAUUUUAAUACUUAAUUUUAGCAACAACCCAUUUUUGUUUUUUAUUUUAAUUUUAUAUUAUUCCGAUAAAAAACCUUUGUUGUAAGCUACAGUGGUCCGCCAAACCAAGCAAGCACAGAAGAAAUGACCGAUGGUGACCCCAUCCAACGCCGACUCAUAUUUGUUUUGGAGGCCUACUUAACUGAAAUCUGAGUUACUCACCUUAGGCAUAUGGCCAAAUAUUGGGCCUGCUAAGCAGAUGUUGGUGUGAUAAGCAAGUUCAGCCCACAAUUUGAAACUGGCCUUCCAAAUACCAUUUUGGGUCUAAACAGAUCAUCUUGGACUUGCAUAUUUUUAUCAAUUUUCUCCCUUCAUUGGACGUGAGAAAGGUGGCUAUUUUGGGUUUAAGCUUCUUCUUUUGUUUGUUUUUUGUUUUCAAUAUUCAUGUGGUUAAAGUGACAUACAUUUUAUAAAUCUAGUUGUUCUCUUUUUCUUUUUCAAACUAAAUCUGUGUAUGUAAUAAUUUUAUUUUAAAAAUAAUAAUUCAAUCAUUAACAUCAUUAAUAUUUCACUUCAAAAAUUGUCAACAUGAAAUGUGGAUAAAGCAACCUUAUAAUGGUGGGUUUGAUUUUUAGGGUUUGAUUUAUCGAAAUAAAAAAUAUUUAUAGUUUUAAGUUAUAAUUUUUAUUAAUA
This 2845-nucleotide long non-coding RNA is filed under the name Gossypium barbadense (sea-island cotton). Its description in RNAcentral is "long non-coding RNA (GBAR_LNC003358)". Lineage: Eukaryota; Viridiplantae; Streptophyta; Magnoliopsida; Malvales; Malvaceae. The record is from RNAcentral.